GAGGGUAUGGCUCAGUGGUAGAGUGUGUGCUUAGCAUGCAUGAGGUCCUGGGUUCAACACCUAGUACCUCCA
This 72-nucleotide transfer RNA is filed under the name Camelus bactrianus (Bactrian camel). It matches the Rfam family "tRNA". From Rfam's summary of the family: Transfer RNA (tRNA) molecules are approximately 80 nucleotides in length. Their secondary structure includes four short double-helical elements and three loops (D, anti-codon, and T loops). The record is from Rfam by way of RNAcentral. Lineage: Eukaryota; Metazoa; Chordata; Mammalia; Artiodactyla; Camelidae. RNAcentral also lists the same sequence under 3 other names.